CCUACGGGAGGCAGCAGUGGGGGAUAUUGCACAAUGGGGGAAACCCUGAUGCAGCGACGCCGCGUGAGUGAAGAAGUAUUUCGGUAUGUAAAGCUCUAUCAGCAGGGAAGAAAAUGACAGUACCUGACCAAGAAGCCCCGGCUACCUCCGUGCCAGCAGCCGCGGUCAUACGGAGGGGGCAAGCGUUAGCCGGGUUUACUGGGGGUAAGGGGAGCGUAGACGGUUAGGGAAGUCUGGGGUGAAAGCCCGGGGCCCAACCCCGGGACGGCAUUGGAAACUGUUAGACUGGAGUAAAGGAGGGGCAGGCGGAAUUCCUGGUGUAGCGGUGAAAUGCGUAGAUAUCAGGAGGAACACCGGCGGCGAAGGCGGGCUGCUGGACUGAAACUGACGUUGAGGCUCGAAGGCGUGGGGAGCAAACGGGAUUAGAUACCCCUGUAGUC
RNAcentral lists this ribosomal RNA (440 nucleotides) under uncultured bacterium. RNAcentral describes it as "partial 16S ribosomal RNA". It matches the Rfam family "Bacterial small subunit ribosomal RNA", at positions 338 to 795 of the family's 1533-position model. The record is from RNAcentral.